RNAcentral lists this ribosomal RNA (433 nucleotides) under uncultured bacterium. RNAcentral describes it as "partial 16S ribosomal RNA". It matches the Rfam family "Bacterial small subunit ribosomal RNA", at positions 28 to 507 of the family's 1533-position model. The record is from RNAcentral.
GGCGAACGCUGGCGGCAGGCCUAACACAUGCAAGUCGAACGGAUCCUUCGGGAUUAGUGGCGGACGGGUGAGUAACACGUGGGAACGUGCCCUUUGGUUCGGAACAACUCAGGGAAACUUGAGCUAAUACCGGAUGUGCCCUUCGGGGGAAAGAUUUAUCGCCAUUGGAGCGGCCCGCGUCUGAUUAGCUAGUUGGUGAGGUAACGGCCCACCAAGGCGACGAUCAGUAGCUGGUCUGAGAGGAUGAUCAGCCACACUGGGACUGAGACACGGCCCAGACUCCUACGGGAGGCAGCAGUGGGGAAUCUUGCGCAGUGGGCGAAAGCCUGACGCAGCCAUGCCGCGUGAAUGAUGAAGGUCUUAGGAUUGUAAAAUUCUUUCAGCGGGGACGAUAAUGACGGUACCCGCAGAAGAAGCUCCGGCUAACUUCGUG